Molecule: non-coding RNA, 21 nt
Filed under: Caenorhabditis elegans
Lineage: Eukaryota; Metazoa; Nematoda; Chromadorea; Rhabditida; Rhabditidae
Source: RNAcentral
AAAAUUACAUGGAAUCGUUUA